Molecule: ribosomal RNA, 1435 nt
Filed under: Dinophyceae sp.
Lineage: Eukaryota; Dinophyceae
Description: partial large subunit ribosomal RNA
Rfam family: Eukaryotic large subunit ribosomal RNA
Source: RNAcentral
ACCCGCUGAAUUUAAGCAUAUAAGUAGGCGGUGAGUGAGACACCAACUGGGAUUCCCUUAGCAAUGGCGAAUGCAGAGGGUUGGGCUCGUUAUUGAAGUUGGGGCACUUGCCCCUGAAAUGUAAUCCUGGGGUGUGCGACCAACCGAGGUGUGGUUAUAGGCUUGUGGGAACAUGUGUUGAUGAGGGUGAUAACCCUGUGUGUCAUCUGCAGCCCUCAGUGCAUGGCGCACAGCUCACGAGUCACAUCCCUUUGGACUGGUGUGUGAAGCAGGUGGUAACAUUCAUCUGAAGCUGAAUAUUUGUCCGAAACCAAUAGUAAACAAGUACCUUGAGGGAAAGGUGAAACAGGACUUUGAAAAGAGAGCUAAACAUGCCUGAAUUUGCCGAGCAGGACAUGAGGGAAACCAGCGUAGCUUGGUAAACUUACUGUGUGUGGUCCUGCUUGCCUGCAUUGUUUACAUUGGUGCGUAUGCAGGACAUAAGCUGAAUGUACACAGUGUGCUUUGCCUUGUCAAUCAGGGUCAGCACAUUGCCUAAAGGUAAUUUCAGUUGCUUGGUAACCUACCCUUUGGUGGGGAAUGCGCCUGUCUCUGCAUGUGCAUGUGCUUCUUGGUGGCUAUGCGGUGCCAUUCGCCCCGUCUUGAAACACGGAUCAAGGAGUCUAAUGUGCGUGCGAGCUCAUGGGUUGUAAGACCUGCUAGCACAAUGAAGAUUGUUGGUUGGGAUUAGUGCAUCGACAACUGACCGUUCAACUGUGAGAGACCCGAGUAUGAGCAUGUCUGUUAGGACCCGAAAGAUGGUGAACUAUGCCUGUGAAGGGUAAGCUCAGGGGAAACUCUGAUGGAGGCCUGCAGUGAUACUGACGUGCAAAUCGUUCGUUGUACAUGGGCAUAGGGGUGAAAGGCUAAUCGAAUCAUCUAGUAGCUGGUUCCCUCUGAAGUUUCCCUCAGGAUAGCUGGAGCUGGACAACUUUACCAUGUAAAGCCAAUGAUUAAAGGAAUUGGGGGUCUGUUGCCCUUGACCUAUUCUCAAACUCUAAAUGGGUAAAGCACAGUUGCUACAUGUGUGAGUUUCAGUGGCAAGUGGCAGCUCUAAGUGGGCCAUUCUUGGUAAGCAGAACUGGCGAAGAGGGAUGAACCUAAUGCUGGGCAAAGGUGCCUCCCUGCUCACUCAUCAGAUACCAUGAAGGGUGUUGGUUCAUCUUAACAGCAGGACGGUGGUCAUGGAAGUUGAAAUCCGCUAAGGAGUGUGUAAUAACUCACCUGCCGAACGGACUAGCCCCAAAAAUGGAUAGCGCUCAAGUGGGUGACUGAUAGCCAGCCAAUUCUGUGAUGAUGUUGCAUCGAUGAAUAGGAGGGCAUGGGGCCUUGUGCUGAAGUUUAAGGUGUAAGUCUGGGUGAAGCAGCCCUGGGUGCAGAUCUUGGUGGUAGUAGC